GGUCAGGUAGCUCAGUUGGUAGAGCAACGGACUGAAAAUCCGUGUGUCGGCGGUUCGAUCCCGCCCCUGACCA
Molecule: transfer RNA, 73 nt
Filed under: Planctomycetota bacterium
Lineage: Bacteria; Pseudomonadati; Planctomycetota
Also listed under: 1 other name
Description: tRNA-Phe
Rfam family: tRNA
About the family: Transfer RNA (tRNA) molecules are approximately 80 nucleotides in length. Their secondary structure includes four short double-helical elements and three loops (D, anti-codon, and T loops).
Source: RNAcentral